UUUGAAUCUGAUUCUACACUCUCUAAGUGGAAGUAUAUGCUUCCUACCUGAGAGUGAAUCGGGUUCGAAUCUUGCGGGGACCUUCUGUAACUAUUCUUUCGCGUUUUUCAUUCGUUUUAGCGUUAAAGUCAAACUGCGUUUGACUUUCUGCAUUAACCAGUUUAUGGUCAAUGCGAAGUUCGUUUGAACUUCAUAACGUGAGCGUAAUCACGAUGGUUAUAGUCCCUAGUAACUAUACCUACUGAUUACCACGUUAUCUAGGCUCAGUGACGAGUCGUAGUUUCGGCCAAAAUGCGUUUUCUCGCGGUCGUAAAGGUAAGCGAUCUAAUCAAUCGCUUAUGCUUACGAACCCGACCCAUUGGUCGAUCUUUAGGAUCCGACCAAACACAUUAGGUGACCAUAGUUGUAUAGGGAAUAACCUUCCGAGGUUAUACCUUAUGGUCACGACGUUUAGUUAGUUAUAUGAAAGGUAGUUUAUAUGCCUUAGGUAAAUUAC
This 496-nucleotide long non-coding RNA is filed under the name Helianthus annuus (common sunflower). Its description in RNAcentral is "hypothetical non coding rna". Lineage: Eukaryota; Viridiplantae; Streptophyta; Magnoliopsida; Asterales; Asteraceae. The record is from RNAcentral.